This 392-nucleotide ribosomal RNA is filed under the name uncultured bacterium. Its description in RNAcentral is "partial 16S ribosomal RNA". It matches the Rfam family "Bacterial small subunit ribosomal RNA", at positions 523 to 918 of the family's 1533-position model. The record is from RNAcentral.
AUACGGAGGAUCCGAGCGUUAUCCGGAUUUAUUGGGUUUAAAGGGUGCGCAGGCGGCCAUUUAAGUCAGCGGUUAAAUCGUGGGGCUCAACCCCAUUCUGCCGUUGAUACUGGGUGGCUUGAUUGCGGUCGAGGUUGGCGGAAUUCGUUGUGUAGCGGUGAAAUGCAUAGAUAUGACGAAGAACACCGAUUGCGUAGGCAGCUGACCAGACCGCAAAUGACGCUCAUGCACUAAAGUGCGGGGAUCGAACAGGAUUAGAUACCCUGGUAGUCCGCACAGUAAACGAUGAAUACUUGUUUUCGGCGAUAUAAUGUCGGAGGCAAAGCGAAAGCGAUAAGUAUUCCACCUGGGGAGUACGCCGGCAACGGUGUAACUCAAAUGAAUUGACGGGG